This 443-nucleotide ribosomal RNA is filed under the name Burkholderia sp. OKI-31. RNAcentral's name for it is "bacterial SSU rRNA". It matches the Rfam family "Bacterial small subunit ribosomal RNA", at positions 30 to 467 of the family's 1533-position model. Lineage: Bacteria; Pseudomonadati; Pseudomonadota; Betaproteobacteria; Burkholderiales; Burkholderiaceae. The record is from RNAcentral.
UGAACGCUGGCGGCAUGCCUUACACAUGCAAGUCGAACGGCAGCACGGGUGCUUGCACCUGGUGGCGAGUGGCGAACGGGUGAGUAAUACAUCGGAACAUGUCCAGUAGUGGGGGAUAGCCCGGCGAAAGCCGGAUUAAUACCGCAUACGAUCCAUGGAUGAAAGCGGGGGACCUUCGGGCCUCGCGCUAUAUGGGGCGGCCGAUGGCGGAUUAGCUAGUUGGUGGGGUAAAGGCCCACCAAGGCGACGAUCCGUAGCUGGUCUGAGAGGACGACCAGCCACACUGGGACUGAGACACGGCCCAGACUCCUACGGGAGGCAGCAGUGGGGAAUUUUGGACAAUGGGCGAAAGCCUGAUCCAGCAAUGCCGCGUGUGUGAAGAAGGCCUUCGGGUUGUAAAGCACUUUUGUCCGGAAAGAAAUCCUUUGGGCUAAUACCCUAGG